GAUGAACGCUAGCGGGAGGCCUAACACAUGCAAGCCGAGCGGUAUUAUUUCUUCGGAAAUGAGAGAGCGGCGUACGGGUGCGGAACAGGUGUGCAACCUGCCUUUAUCUAGGGGAUAGCCUUUCGAAAUGAAGAUUAAUACCCUAUAAUAUAUUUUUUGGCAUCGAAAGAUAUUGAAAACUCCGGUGGAAAGAGAUGGGCACGCGCAAGAUUAUCUGGUUGGUGAGGUAACGGCUCACCAAGGCAAUGAUCUUUAGGGGGGCUGAGAGGGUGGUCCCCCACACUGGUACUGAGACACGGACCGGACUGCUACGGGAGGCAGCAGUGAGGAAUAUUGGUCAAUGGGUGCAAGCCUGAACCAGCCAUCCCGCGUGAAGGACGACUGCCCUAUGGGUUGUAAACUUCUUUUGUAUAGGGGUAAACCUACCCUCGUGAGGGUAGCUGAAGGUACUAUACGAAUAAGCACCGGCUAACUCCGUGCCAGCCGCCGCUGUAA
RNAcentral lists this ribosomal RNA (495 nucleotides) under uncultured bacterium. Its description in RNAcentral is "partial 16S ribosomal RNA". It matches the Rfam family "Bacterial small subunit ribosomal RNA", at positions 28 to 523 of the family's 1533-position model. The record is from RNAcentral.